UUGGCUUAGAAGCAGCCAUCCUUGAAAGAGUGCGUAAUAGCUCACUGGUCAAGUGAUCGUGCGCCGACAAUGUAGCGGGGCUCAAGCACACCGCCGAAGCCGCGGACCCAUGACGUUGUUCCCUUCACUGUCCGGCUUGUCCGGGUGGUGGCAGGGGUUGUGGGUGGUAGGGGAGCGUCCUGCACCGGGGGAAGCCUGUGGGUGACUGCUGGUGGACGGUGCGGGAGUGAGAAUGCAGGCAUGAGUAGCGAUACUAGGGUGAGAAGCCCUAGCGCCGAAUGACCAAGGGUUCCAGGGCCAGGCUAGUCCGCCCUGGGUGAGUCGGGACCUAAGGCGAGGCCGACAGGCGUAGUCGAUGGAUGACGGGUUGAUAUUCCCGUACCGGCGAAGCACCGCCCAUGCUGACGCGCGGGUGCUAACCCACGCCCAACCACCAUGUAAGCCGCAUGUGUCAGGUUCGCCUGACGGUGUGGUUGUGGUGGUGGGGUCUGGGGAUCCUCCGUGCAGGUAGGCAAGCGUGUUAACAGGGGUGACGCACAGUGGUAGCCCGGCGGACCUGAUGGCUUGGUCCGUUCAAGCGCGCAGCCCGUCUCCCAGGUAAAUCCGGGGGACUGUCUUUGAUGACGGGGGUGAGGCGUGAUGGUGACCUCACACUGGUGGGGGAUAACAGGGUGAUCCUGGGGUGCCGAGAAAAGCCUCGACGCGAUGGUGCCAGCCGCCCGUACCCUAAACCGACACAGGUGGUCGGGCAGAGUAUGCCUAGGCGCACGAGUGAAUCAUGGUUAAGGAACUCGGCAAAAUGCCCCCGUAACUUCGGGAGAAGGGGGGCCUGAUCCCUGAAGCCCCAUCGCGGGCUAGGGGGGAGGGUCGCAGAGGCCAGGGGGAAGCGACUGUUUACUAAAAACACAGGUCCGUGCGAAGCCGUAAGGCGAUGUAUACGGACUGACGCCUGCCCGGUGCUGGAAGGUUAAGAGGAACCAUCAACCCCCUCGGGGGUGAAGUGGUGAAUUUAAGCCCCAGUAAACGGCGGUGGUAACUAUAACCAUCCUAAGGUAGCGAAAUUCCUUGUCGGGUAAGUUCCGACCUGCACGAAUGGCGUAACGACUUCCCCGCUGUCUCAACCAUGAGCUCGGCGAAAUUGCAGUACGAGUAAAGAUGCUCGUUUCGCGCAGAAGGACGGAAAGACCCCGGGACCUUUACUACAGCUUGGUAUUGGCGCCCGCUAUAGCUUGUGCAGGAUAGGUGGGAGACGUUGAAGCCGCUACGCCAGUAGUGGUGGAGUCGUCCUUGAAAUACCACUCUGGUUAUGGCGUGCGCCUGAACCUGGGCCCGUGAUCCGGGUUAGGGACAGUGCCUGGUGGGUAGUUUAACUGGGGCGGUUGCCUCCUAAAGUGUAACGGAGGCGCUCAAAGGUUCCCUCAGCCUGGUCGGUAACCAGGUGUUGAGUGUAAGUGCACAAGGGGGCUUGACUGUGAGACUGACGGGUCGAGCAGGUACGAAAGUAGGAACUAGUGAUCCGGCGAUCCCGUGUGGGUGGGUCGUCGCUCAACGGAUAAAAGGUACCCCGGGGAUAACAGGCUGAUCCUGCC
RNAcentral lists this ribosomal RNA (1589 nucleotides) under human metagenome. Its description in RNAcentral is "bacterial LSU rRNA". It matches the Rfam family "Bacterial large subunit ribosomal RNA", at positions 1101 to 2492 of the family's 2925-position model. The record is from RNAcentral.